This 230-nucleotide ribosomal RNA is filed under the name uncultured bacterium. Its description in RNAcentral is "partial 16S ribosomal RNA". It matches the Rfam family "Bacterial small subunit ribosomal RNA", at positions 524 to 752 of the family's 1533-position model. The record is from RNAcentral.
UACGUAGGUGGCAAGCGUUGUCCGGAAUUAUUGGGCGUAAAGCGCGCGCAGGCGGCCUCUUAAGUCUGAUGUGAAAGCCCCCGGCUCAACCGGGGAGGGCCAUUGGAAACUGGGAGGCUUGAGUAUAGGAGAGAAGAGUGGAAUUCCACGUGUAGCGGUGAAAUGCGUAGAGAUGUGGAGGAACACCAGUGGCGAAGGCGACUCUUUGGCCUAUAACUGACGCUGGAGGC